Molecule: long non-coding RNA, 867 nt
Organism: Acromyrmex echinatior (Panamanian leafcutter ant)
Lineage: Eukaryota; Metazoa; Arthropoda; Insecta; Hymenoptera; Formicidae
Source: RefSeq, a predicted model, not a curated record
UUUAGUUCUUCGGUGAAUUUAAGUCAUGAAUGUUUUGUUCAAGAAAACUUUAAUGAAAAUUCUUUUGGGCAAGAAAACUAUAAUGAAUCGGAUAGUUUAUGUGCAGAAAAGAAAGAAUCUGCUGUUUAGAAUCAAAAUGCAACAUUAGUCCUUCUUAAUUUGUACAAAGCAAAAGUAGAUAUGUUAGACCAUCCAAAAAAGAAGGACAAAAUAUGGGAAACAAUAUCUAUCGCUCUGCAACAAGAUUUUGCUAUUCAGAUGUCUGUAGAUCAAGACCAUUGGAAAAUGAAUUCCUUAAUGAAGAAAUAUAAGGAAUGUGUAGAUAAUAAUUCGAAAUCAGGGAGAAACCUAAUGACAUUCAAAUGGUUCGAUUAAAUGGAUGAGAUCUUUAAUAAAGGAAAAAUUGCUACUACAAAUUAUACUUUCUUAUCCAAAUAUAUGAAUAUUGCAAAGCCUUCAGCUUCAUCUACGACAAAAGUUUGACCCAAGUUCUUCAAACUCAACCUUAGUUCCUUCUGAUACUAAAAGUUCUUGCUCUGAAGAUUCGAGUAUUUUUAAAUCUAUUGAUUCCAUAUUAAGUAUGAGAAGCCAAAAUAAAUGUUUGCCGCGUGGAACUAACUCUAAUAUAGCAAGGGAUAAAGUUACAUUGAAAAAUCAAUGGUUAGAAUAUGUAAAGAUGAAGAUUGAAUUGACAAAGUCUGUGAUGAAAGAUAUGUAUCUGCUUCUGAACAUAAGAAAGAAUUGCUGAAGAUGAAAAAAAAGUAUUAUGCUGCGAAAGAAGAAGAAAUAAAGCAACGAAAACAUUAUUUAACAAAGUUACAAGACAAAACAAAGAGACACACAGAAAUUGUAGCAAUUGAGGAAAAA